Molecule: long non-coding RNA, 999 nt
Filed under: Phasianus colchicus (ring-necked pheasant)
Lineage: Eukaryota; Metazoa; Chordata; Aves; Galliformes; Phasianidae
Description: lncRNA (ENSPCLG00000001427.1)
Source: RNAcentral
GUUGGCUGCCUGACUGUGAAGGGGGGAGGAGAUGAAGUCUGAAGAAAUAGUGGAGAAAACUCUGGCUAUGAGGACCUGCUGGGCUAAAAGAGCUGAAAUGAAUCAGAAAUGAAAACAGAGUACUUUGCACCAGAAGAAAGAUGCACUGCAUUUCUACAACAGAAGGACAAAGAAAUUGAGAGCGACAUUCUGAAAAUGUUACCUCAAAAAAAAGCUCCUAUUAAUGCUGGUGGGACUCGUGGAAAGAGCUCUGAAAAGGAAGACAAGAACAACUGUGGUUCAGAGAUGAGCAAUUUGCCCCAUAAUGUGAAGAAAGACCCUGUGUGCUAUGGAUUUCACUGAUGUCAUUGCUCCUGUUCUUGUAAUAAGGUGCUAUUUCAUCCACGAAAUACUGGGAGAAUCUCAUCCACAAGUGAAUCACUCAUACAUGUGCUCUGAGAAGACUGUGGGACCAUUGCAAGCUGCAAAUCUGCAGUGCUGAUUUCUGCUUUUGUAUGAAACAGCCAAUAUCUACGUAGGUCAGACCCAGCUUAAGGGAAACUCAAACUUCACAACGCCUUAAAGGCAUUUGAGAAAUACAGUGUUUCUGAACUUUAAAUGCAGUAAUAUCUCUAAAAUUGGCUCGUCAGUUCUGAAUUCCUUCCAGAAUUAAUAUUUGCGUCAAUCUCUUAUUCCUUAAACUUUACAUCUGUAUUAUGCUGUCCAGUGUCUUGAAUUUCAUCUCUAGAAUUUUUUUACAAUUUGUAGGGACCUUACAUGGAUUCUAAAAGCAGAUACUUUUUGGUUUUACAUGUCACAUGAGUGUAAGGCCAAAUCUACCAUGUAGACUUUCAUGAAUUUUGUGUGAUAAGGUGUGCCCAUCAGUAUUUGAGGUAUGCAGCCUAGGCAAACCUAAUCAAAUCCACAGAAAUUAGUACAUGAGAAAAACUGAAUGUAAGCUGGCAUCAAUUAUUAGUCAAUGGUAAUAAAAUUACUGUAAUAUUUAGAAAUAAAAUUCCU